CUAAAUCGCCGAAACCAUAGAGUGCGGGGGAACCAUCUGGAUUCAGUAGAAUCCAAGGGGUGAAUCCUUUACAUAGGUAGGGCUACUCUGGCCCGAAUCCGUCAGCUAACCUCGUAAGCGUUAUAGAGAAA
This 131-nucleotide small RNA is filed under the name Bacillus tuaregi. Its description in RNAcentral is "ydaO/yuaA leader". It matches the Rfam family "c-di-AMP riboswitch aptamer (ydaO/yuaA leader)". Rfam says of the family: This family represents a conserved RNA structure found upstream of the ydaO and yuaA genes in Bacillus subtilis and related genes in other bacteria. The ydaO/yuaA element is thought to act as a genetic "off" switch for the ydaO and yuaA genes in its native state. Lineage: Bacteria; Bacillati; Bacillota; Bacilli; Caryophanales; Bacillaceae. The record is from RNAcentral.